CCAGAACUGGGAAAAGCAAGCAAUUUUUUUAUCUAGCUAUGCUUGGGUCAACUGCAAUACUGAGUGGAGGUUCUAGGCUUCCAGUUCUAGCUAAGACAAGCAAAAGCAUAGAUAUGGACAUGCAUGAACUUGACAACAGGAGCAACACAGGACAGGAUUGCAAGGAAGAUGGGAUACUGACACUGCUUCUUGAACAAGGACUCGCAUCAGACUGCUAUUUAAUUUAAUUAUAAUUUUACAAAAUGCGUUAAACAUAAUAGAGUAAGUAGUUUAUUAACAUCAGCAGAGAGAGAGCAGAGGAAGCAUCCUGAACAGAAGGGCUACCAGCAAGAACUGCUGGCACCCAAAAAA
Amphimedon queenslandica is the source of this 351-nucleotide long non-coding RNA. RefSeq lists it as uncharacterized. The record is from RefSeq and is a predicted model, not a curated record. Lineage: Eukaryota; Metazoa; Porifera; Demospongiae; Haplosclerida; Niphatidae. The transcript has 2 exons.